This 4467-nucleotide unclassified non-coding RNA is filed under the name Leishmania donovani. Its description in RNAcentral is "gene:LdHU3.20.1530(CDS-product:cysteine_peptidase _Clan_CA_family_C2_putative)". The record is from RNAcentral. Lineage: Eukaryota; Euglenozoa; Kinetoplastea; Trypanosomatida; Trypanosomatidae.
AGCAGCCCGAAGCAAACCGAACUCGCCAAACUGUGCUCUUUCCAUUUGCCCGGCUUUGACGAACUGCAGUCUUCCAGACCUGUCUCCAAACAACACCUGAUUUUCGACUCCCCCAAGAGGAAACCAAACACACCAACCAUGUCGCACAACGGUACAGCAGGUGAGUGGCGAGAGCUCGGUGAAGAGCAGCCAACGCUAUCCUCCAAGCCACAAGACGCAGCCAUGAACACUUAUGCCACCAAGGAGGCUUACGAGGGAGAGCGUGCCGAGCACUUAGCUCAGAAGUCUCACUCUCCUCAAUAUUACUUGGCGGACAGCGAGCCCCAAGUAAUCCCGCAGCAGGCCUACGAGGAGGAGGCUCCCCAGGAGUAUCCGAAAGAGAUCGGCAAUAACUAUGACGCACCGCAGCACGCGUACGAGGUGGUGGCCCCGGACAACGCUCACGCCCGCUCGAUGCCUGCGCCGCACGCUGCCGCUGCCGCUACGCCGCCGAGCGCGAUCGUGAAGCCGCGGAUGCGCAACGUGAAGAGCGUCGCGCGCUGGGAGGCGGUGGAGUAUGACCUGCGUGACGGCAGCGACGAUGAGUUCGAGCUGUCGACGUGCAUGACACCGGUAUACGAGGGCGAAGGUGAGGAGGGCAACGAGGAUGCGAGCGUGUUCAAGCACGGCGAGCCGGAUUGCAAGGGGGAGAUCAUGUCGUGCUUCGACGAGCCGAACCUGCUGUACCGGAUCAUUGACCCGAAGGCGAAGACGUGGUCGUUUUACAACGACAGCCUGCAGUACGAGAUGCAUGUGCAGUUCAUAUUUGGCAAGCACUCGAAGCUGCAGCCGCUGGAGAACACGACGCUGCGGCAGAACGAAGAGGGCCAAUACGUGAUGGAGGUGGUCGUGUACCCGACGGAGACCGAGAUGUUUUUGCAGGGCACCGUGAACGGGUUCACAAGCAAGCUGCGCGCUGUGCCACUGACGGAGGACUACCAUAAUGCGCGCCGCGGGAUCACGGAGGAGCUGGUGAACAACGAGGUGGCUGCGAUCCAGCAGGUGACGAGCAGCGACAACGCGGAGGACGUGCUGCAGGCGUGCAUCGACAGCGGGAUCCCAUUCGUGGACCCCGAGUUCCCGCCGUGCCAGGCGUCGCUGGAAGCUGGCGCGAACAAGCCGUUCAAGCCGUUUGCGUGGGCACGGCCGCAGGCAUGCGUGCCGGAGGAGAUGGCGUCGCAGGUUCGACUGUUCCGCGCGAACGUGAGGCCCGGCUGUGUGGACGCUGGCGACCUCGGCGACUCGUGGGUGAUUUGCUCUGUUGCGUCGGUGUCGGAGGACCCUGCGCGGCUGAUGGGGAUGUUCCGCCACCCGGAGGGCAAGGCUGCGGCACAGCGCGAGCACGCGGUUGGCGCGUACCGCGUGACGUUCAACAAAAAUGGGUGGUGGCGCAGCGUGCUGGUGGACAGCUACCUGCCUGUGUCCGGCGGCAAGCUGAAGUACGCGAAGAGCGCGACGGACCCGGCGGAGAUCUGGCCUGCGAUCCUGGAGAAGGCGUACGCGAAGCUGCAUGGCAGCUACGCGAGGAUCUGCUCCGGCGACCCGCUGCACGCGCUGCAGGACAUGACCGGGUUCUCGACGAUGCGCUUCGACGAGUUGCUGACGGACGACAAGGCGAGCGACCAGCUGUUCAGCGACCUUGUGCAUGGGAUUGCUGCAGGGUACACGGUGAUCUGCAGCACACCAGGGCGCGGGCCACACGACAAAGACCAGGAGCUGUGCGAGGCGUACGCGCAGGUGGGGCUUGUGACCGGGUGCGCGUACACGAUCCUGGAGGCGAAGCACAUCGAGAACAAGGACCUGCGGAUGGUGAAGGUACGCAACGCAUGGGGGCGCGGUGUGGAGUGGAGCGGCAGCUGGGGCAACGACGACACGAAAUGGGACGCGAACCCAGAUAUCGCGGAGGAAUGCAACUUCCAGAAGGCGGCGAAUGGGAUGUUCUGGAUGUCGUGGAAGGACGCGCGGAAGUACUUCAACGGUGGUGGCGUGUGCUUCACGCACCAGCCGGCGUACGACUACCGCAUGAACUGCGUGUUCACGGAAGGCGUGCCGUCCGCUGUGCUGGAGAUCGAGGUGCAGUCGCCUACGUGCUUCACGUUUGUGAUUUCACAGGACGACAAGCGGUGCCAGGUGAACGCGUCGGAGUACAAGCCUGUGAUGAUCAGCAUUGCGGAGCCCGUGGAGGGCGACAUGUACAAGGUCGUCAUGAAUUCCUCGGCGAACGGCGCGCGGCCGACGUCGGACAAGUGGAUGUUUCUUCAGGCACGCGACGUCUCACUGAUCCACAAGCUGGACGCUGGGAAGUACAUUGUCGUGCCGCGCAUCAUGCCGUCGGAUGACCCAGUGGAGCCUGUACCGUACGUUCUGGGGAUGAUCUGCAACAAGGAGGUUGGCAACGGCGACGUGAGCGUGAAGUUUAAGCGCCUGGACGCUGGCAACCGCGUGUUCGAGAACUUCCCGAAGUUCGAGCCGGAGCUGAUGGAGGUGGAGCAGCCGGUGCAGUACCAGAAGCGCGCGCCGGGCGAGGCAUUCCCGAUGACACAGAUGGGGGAGGAGCUGAUUUAGUGCUGGGCUGUUGCUAUUCUGUGUGGAGAUGCACCACUCGUGAGAACUGAUGUGGUACCUCAGGAGACUCGCAGCUGUGUCUCGAGCUGUCAUGGUUUAUGCGAAGGGUUCAAGAAGCCUUGUAACGUGAGGCGUCUUGCUGUGUGCUGAGCCGAACUGCACACUUAGGCAUGCGAUGAGGAAAGGCCGAAAGGAUUCCCACUCUGCAGAUUCUGUCGUGGGACUUGCAGAUAGUCGCGCGAGAGUGCCGGGUGUGAUGUUGAAUGUCACGCGCCGUUUCCUUGGUGGCGCUGGGGGCGCUUUUCGACUGCUCACCGCAGCGUGAAGACUUUUUUCAAGAGACCACUUUUCAUUGUGGUAACCUGACGUAGGUGGGUUAUCGGUGCGGAGUCGAACUUGGUAUUGAGCUUUUCUUGGUUGUCCUCUGCUUUUCAGACCGGACUUCGCUUCCUGAUUGCUUACAGGCUGGGGUUUAGUGCUCCGUUUUUUCUUUCGUGUGGGGGAUGAUAUUGCCCCUUGUGCUCUGCUGUAGUCUGUGAGACCUUCACCUGAUCCCCGCGCUGUUUGCAGACGCACGCAUCCUCAUAGCGAUUUGUCAAGGCGUUUCACGUUUUGUUCGCUGGCGGCUGUUGAUGACGACGAUGACGGCAGAGCUCAUCUUUCCCUUCUUCGCGCUUCUUGCAGGAGGUUCGUAUCGCCUGUGUGUGGUCUCAAUAAAGUUGGCGCUUUUGUUUCCUUGAUAGUGAUGUAUCGACGCUGACAGUUCUUGUGGCGCUGUUUGUUUACUCCCUUUCUUUUUUUUUGCGUGACUCUCAUUUUCUCUGGCUUUCGAUUGGCGUAGGGCGGAGGUCUUGGGUCAAGCACCUGGCAGAGGAGUUGGCCGUUCUCUGUUUUUCUUUGGGCGGAUCUCUCUCUCUUCCACCGUCGCGCCCUAUCGCAUUCGAGACACACCGAUUGCAUAUCUCUUCUUCCCUUCUCGUAAGUUACAUCAGUUGCUCUCCGCUUUUUAUUGCUCAUUAUUACUUCACAAGAAGGCCAGGAUGAUGUGUGGGCCGACGGCGCCCCCUUUUCCUGUUUCUUGCUCUGCGAUGACUUGUGAACUUGCGCCCGACGGGAUGUCUUAGUUUUCUCUUCCCCUUCCGUGUCAUUCUUCUGCACUACAAAGUGAGUGACUCUACUUCGCGAGGACAAAAGUCUUGCGACGAGGAGCCUCACGCGAGCAGGACCACCUUCUUCCUGUAUUCCUCCUCGCACCGCUGCCGCACAAGCCUGCAUCAAGGUAAAGGAGGUGAAAAAAAGAAGAGUGAUCGAAAGCGCCGCGUUGAAGCCAAAGCACCCGCUCGAUGCCCACGGGCAUACUCCCCUCUUCUUCCCUUCUUUGUUUCUUCUUGUCUAUCAACCGUGCUUUAUCCGUAUCUUUUUUUUUUAAUGUUUUUAUCCCCUUAUUCCACCGACAUAGUUACCCAUUCACCGUGCUGUAUUCGUUUCUUUGUUUCCCCUACGCUUAGGUGCGAACUCUCUUUCCCUUUUUUUUUUCACUCUCUAAUCUCUAUCGCGCGUGCACACUUCUACAAAAGGAACAACGAGGAGGCAACUAAAUCAUGCCCUGUUUCUUCUACCUCAAAGCGGGGCACUUUGCUUUGCCUUCCCUGUCUUUCUCUUGUGUGUCUCGGCCAGAUUCGUCUCUUCGCCUUUUUCCUUUACCUCCGUAGAGGGGCAGGGCAUUCAUCUCUUUCUUUCCUGUCUCCCAAAAGGCGUGCUUAACCUGUAUUUAUACAAUCGAAAAAAUACAGAUACGUUUCCCCAUCCCUUUCUUCCUCCCACUUUAAUACGAAUAUAAGCUGGAUGUUGAGCAGCCAAACG